AUUGAACGCUGGCGGCAGGCCUAACACAUGCAAGUCGAACGGUAGCACAGAGGAGCUUGCUCCUUGGGUGACGAGUGGCGGACGGGUGAGUAAUGUCUGGGAAACUGCCCGAUGGAGGGGGAUAACUACUGGAAACGGUAGCUAAUACCGCAUAACGUCUUCGGACCAAAGUGGGGGACCUUCGGGCCUCACACCAUCGGAUGUGCCCAGAUGGGAUUAGCUAGUAGGUGGGGUAAUGGCUCACCUAGGCGACGAUCCCUAGCUGGUCUGAGGGGAUGACCGGCCACAAUGGAACUGAGACACGGGCCAGACUCCUACGGGAGGCAGCAGUGGGGAAUAUUGCACAAUGGGCGCAAGCCUGAUGCAGCCAUGCCGCGUGUAUGAAGAAGGCCUUCGGGUUGUAAAGUACUUUCAGCGGGGAGGAAGGCGUUAAGGUUAAUAACCUUGGCGAUUGACGUUACCCGCAGAAGAAGCACCGGCUAACUCCGUGCCAGCCGCCGCAGUAA
Molecule: ribosomal RNA, 506 nt
Filed under: uncultured bacterium
Lineage: Bacteria
Description: partial 16S ribosomal RNA
Rfam family: Bacterial small subunit ribosomal RNA
Source: RNAcentral